GUGAUUAAAUCGAGCGUGUCUUCAUUGACCGCUCACCCUUCUCACCAUCCACAUACACCUGUGCACUGUUUAGCCGGAGCCGGUUUUCCGGUCCAGGUUAUCAUUUCAUACAAACUCUAGUCUUAUGAAUGUAAACGUUUUAAUAACAUAAUA
Molecule: unclassified non-coding RNA, 153 nt
Filed under: soil metagenome
Description: partial internal transcribed spacer 1
Source: RNAcentral